CUGGCGGCGUGCCUAAUACAUGCAAGUCGAACGGUCUUUCUAUGGAAGCUUGCUCCACUGAGAAGAUAGUGGCGAACGGGUGAGUAACACGUGGGUAACCUGCCCAUAAGAGGGGGGAGUAACAUCCGGAAACGGGUGCUAAUACCGCAUAGUUUUCUUGAUCGCAUGAUCGGGAAAGGAAAGACGGCCUUUGUGCUGUCGCUUAUGGAUGGACCCGCGGCGUAUUAGUUAGUUGGUGAGGUAACGGCUCACCAAGACGAUGAUACGUAGCCGACCUGAGAGGGUGAUCGGCCACAUUGGGACUGAGACACGGCCCAAACUCCUACGGGAGGCAGCAGUAGGGAAUCUUCCGCAAUGGACGAAAGUCUGACGGAGCAACGCCGCGUGAGUGAAGAAAAGGUUUUCGGAUCGUAAAACUCUGUUGUCAGAGAAGAACAAGUUGGAGAGUAACUGCUCCAGCCUUGACGGUAUCUGACCAGAAAGCCACGGCUAACUACGUGCCAGCCGCUGC
This 511-nucleotide ribosomal RNA is filed under the name uncultured bacterium. RNAcentral's name for it is "bacterial SSU rRNA". It matches the Rfam family "Bacterial small subunit ribosomal RNA", at positions 36 to 518 of the family's 1533-position model. The record is from RNAcentral.